AACGCGAAGAACCUUACCAAGGCUUGACAUACACGAGAACGGGCCAGAAAUGGUCAACUCUUUGGACACUCGUGAACAGGUGGUGCAUGGUUGUCGUCAGCUCGUGUCGUGAGAUGUUGGGUUAAGUCCCGCAACGAGCGCAACCCUCGUUCUAUGUUGCCAGCACGUAAUGGUGGGAACUCAUGGGAUACUGCCGGGGUCAACUCGGAGGAAGGUGGGGAUGACGUCAAAUCAUCAUGCCCCUUAUGUCUUGGGCUUCACGCAUGCUACAAUGGCCGGUACAAAGGGCUGCAAUACCGCGAGGUGGAGCGAAUCCCAAAAAGCCGGUCCCAGUUCGGAUUGAGGUCUGCAACUCGACCUCAUGAAGUCGGAGUCGCUAGUAAUCGCAGAUCAGCAACGCUGCGGUGAAUACGUUCCCGGGCCUUGUA
This 428-nucleotide ribosomal RNA is filed under the name uncultured Actinomycetes bacterium. RNAcentral describes it as "bacterial SSU rRNA". It matches the Rfam family "Bacterial small subunit ribosomal RNA", at positions 958 to 1385 of the family's 1533-position model. Lineage: Bacteria; Bacillati; Actinomycetota; Actinomycetes. The record is from RNAcentral.